RNAcentral lists this long non-coding RNA (253 nucleotides) under Elaeis guineensis (African oil palm). RNAcentral describes it as "long non-coding RNA (EGUI_LNC035509)". Lineage: Eukaryota; Viridiplantae; Streptophyta; Magnoliopsida; Arecales; Arecaceae. The record is from RNAcentral.
CCGCAGAGGUCGUGGAUCGCCUGGUGGAUGCUCGCGGGGAGGCAUCAGGUGAAGAUCUAGUAGAAGAAGGAGAAGAGAAUGUUAGACAAGAUGACCGGAAUCAGUCCCGUUGAGCACUCCUUUAAGAACAAGGGUACUGCAAAGACACACCCCCUUCCUCUAGCGCCAAUUCUGUUGGUGCAGAAUUCCAUCGAAGUCGGAGAAGCUGGAGCGGGGAUGACCGCGGCCGCCGUCGGGACCUACAAAGAAAGUC